UGGAUCUGUAGUGUAAUGGAUAUCACGUCGGAUUCCGGUUCCGGAGAUGAGGGUUCGAUUCCCCCCAGAUUCAU
RNAcentral lists this transfer RNA (74 nucleotides) under Weissella cibaria. RNAcentral describes it as "tRNA-Arg". It matches the Rfam family "tRNA". Rfam says of the family: Transfer RNA (tRNA) molecules are approximately 80 nucleotides in length. Lineage: Bacteria; Bacillati; Bacillota; Bacilli; Lactobacillales; Lactobacillaceae. The record is from RNAcentral.